This 654-nucleotide ribosomal RNA is filed under the name uncultured bacterium. Its description in RNAcentral is "bacterial SSU rRNA". The stretch from base 1 to 545 matches the Rfam family "Bacterial small subunit ribosomal RNA", at positions 338 to 873 of the family's 1533-position model. The record is from RNAcentral.
CCUACGGGAGGCAGCAGUAGGGAAUCUUCCACAAUGGGCGAAAGCCUGAUGGAGCAACGCCGCGUGAGUGAUGAAGGCCUUCGGGUUGUAAAACUCUGUCAUUCGGGACGAACCGGAGUCUGAGGAAAUGCAGACUCUCUGACGGUACCGGAGGAGGAAGCCCCGGCUAACUACGUGCCAGCAGCCGCGGUAAUACGUAGGGGGCAAGCGUUGUCCGGAUUCACUGGGCGUAAAGCGCGCGCAGGCGGCGAUGUAAGUCUGAGGUGAAAACCCGAAGCUCAACUUCGGGACUGCCUUGGAUACUGCGUCACUUGAGGAUAGGAGAGGCAAGGGGAAUUCCACGUGUAGCGGUGAAAUGCGUAGAGAUGUGGAGGAACACCUGUGGCGAAGGCGCCUUGCUGGCCUAUUUCUGACGCUGAGGCGCGAAAGCGUGGGGAGCAAACAGGAUUAGAUACCCUGGUAGUCCACGCUGUAAACGAUGAGUGCUAGGUGUAGGUGGGCUCAUACCACUCUGUGCGACGACUAACGACAUAAGACACNCCGCCCGUCGGGGUAGGUACGGUCGGCGACGACGUACGAAACGUUAAAGUUAGUAAGUUAGUUACGGCGUUGAGGACGUUAGGCCGACGGACGACGACGAGGGAGGUUAGGGAG